UAAGCGGAGGAAAAGAAACUAACAAGGAUUCCCCUAGUAACUGCGAGUGAAGCGGGAAAAGCUCAAAUUUAAAAUCUGGCGGUCUUUGGCCGUCCGAGUUGUAAUUUAGAGAAGCGUCUUCCGCGCCGGACCGUGCACAAGUCUCCUGGAAUGGAGCGUCAUAGAGGGUGAGAAUCCCGUCUUUGGCACGGAUGCCUGGUGCUUCUGUGAUGCGCUCUCGAAGAGUCGAGUUGUUUGGGAAUGCAGCUCAAAAUGGGUGGUGAACUCCAUCUAAAGCUAAAUAUUGGCGAGAGACCGAUAGCGAACAAGUACCGUGAGGGAAAGAUGAAAAGCACUUUGGAAAGAGAGUGAAACAGUACGUGAAAUUGUUGAAAGGGAAACGCUUGAAGUCAGUCGCGUCGACCGAGACUCAGCCUUGCCUCGGCUUGGUGUACUUCUCGGCCCGACGGGUCAGCGUCAAUUUUGCCCCUCGGAUAAUGGCAAGGGAAAGGUGGCACCUUUACGGGUGUGUUAUAGUCUCCUGUCGCAUGCGAGGGGUGGGAUUGAGGAACUCAGCGCGCACCUUGGUGUCGGGGCUUCGGCCCACGUCACGCGCUUANAUGCUGGCGUANUGNCUUUAAACGANC
RNAcentral lists this ribosomal RNA (626 nucleotides) under Lactarius sp. GAL17100. RNAcentral describes it as "LSU rRNA". It matches the Rfam family "Eukaryotic large subunit ribosomal RNA", at positions 47 to 649 of the family's 3401-position model. The record is from RNAcentral. Lineage: Eukaryota; Fungi; Basidiomycota; Agaricomycetes; Russulales; Russulaceae.